Molecule: long non-coding RNA, 244 nt
Filed under: Pan troglodytes (chimpanzee)
Lineage: Eukaryota; Metazoa; Chordata; Mammalia; Primates; Hominidae
Description: long non-coding RNA NONPTRT007274
Source: RNAcentral
AGGUUUCAGGUACGUUCACCAACUUUCUUUCAAAAAUCCCGGGACCAGCAUUGGUACAUUACUCAGUUGGAAGCUGCACAGACUAGUUAUAUCCAACAAAUAAACAACCUUAAAGAGAGACUUACUAUUGAGCUGUCUCGAACUCAGAAGUCAAGAGAUUUGUCACCACCAGAUAACCAUCUUAGCCCCCAAAAUGAUGAUGCUCUGGAGACACGAGCUAAGAAGUCUGCAUGCUCUGACAUGC